RNAcentral lists this small RNA (407 nucleotides) under Pan troglodytes (chimpanzee). RNAcentral describes it as "retained intron". Lineage: Eukaryota; Metazoa; Chordata; Mammalia; Primates; Hominidae. The record is from RNAcentral.
UAGAUGCUGAAUGGAUGACAAGACCAAGCCUGUAACAGUGGAUUUCUCUGUCUCAAUUCCAGUGAGGGCCAAAAAAGAAGUUUCCCCACCACUGUCAGCCUCUGGGAAUUCUGUGGUGACUCAUUCAUUGGCUUUUCUCUCCCUUCCCAGGAUCUCAUAGAUCAGAACAUACUGGAGCCUGUAACCUGUGCACAGAGGGUGUGGAUUACACCAACGCUUCCAACAAUGAACCUUCUUGCUUCCCAUGUACAGUUUGUAAAUCAGAUCAAAAACAUAAAAGUUCCUGCACCAUGACCAGAGACACAGUGUGUCAGUGUAAAGAAGGCACCUUCCGGAAUGAAAACUCCCCAGAGAUGUGCCGGAAGUGUAGCAGGUGCCCUAGUGGGGAAGUCCAAGUCAGUAAUUGU